UAGUAUAAAAGCUUUUCUUCUCUCCCCCUUUUUAUUUUGUGGUUCCAGGCCUUCAAUGAAUAUUCAAAUAUUAAUAAUGUUUGGUCUCUUUCUUUUCUUUUCCUUUCUCUUUUCUUUAAGGAAAAAAGGUGUGGGAAAGCAAAUACACUAUGGGAAGAUAUAUAACGCAAUGAGAACUGCGCAUGCAGUAUUUUACAAGUUGUAUUGACCUUGACGCUGCUCUUAAAUUAAUGGAUCGGAGAAUGAAUGAGAAAUAUUAAGUCAUUGAUCUUCACCCUAGUCCACACGUUCAAUUCGGGUCUUGACUCAUAUAUUUCGUAUAGAUAUAUAGAUGUUUAAUUUUCAUGGAAUAAUUGGUUUUCGUUGCAUGUACUAAGACUUUUGUUCUUCCAUGCGUCUCAGAAUGUCAAAGACAAAUAGGAAGUGAGUUUGUCAAUAUGUGAUCUCUCUACCUAAUUGUUGUUUCUAAUAAUAAUUCAAGAAUCGCAACCACGUGUUUCCCAC
This 504-nucleotide long non-coding RNA is filed under the name Arachis ipaensis. RNAcentral describes it as "long non-coding RNA (AIPA_LNC000699)". The record is from RNAcentral. Lineage: Eukaryota; Viridiplantae; Streptophyta; Magnoliopsida; Fabales; Fabaceae.